GACGAACGCUGGCGGCGUGCCUAAUACAUGCAAGUUGAGCGCUGAAGGUUGGUACUUGUACCGACUGGAUGAGCAGCGAACGGGUGAGUAACGCGUGGGGAAUCUGCCUUUGAGCGGGGGACAACAUUUGGAAACGAAUGCUAAUACCGCAUAAAAACUUUAAACACAAGUUUUAAGUUUGAAAGAUGCAAUUGCAUCACUCAAAGAUGAUCCCGCGUUGUAUUAGCUAGUUGGUGAGGUAAAGGCUCACCAAGGCGAUGAUACAUAGCCGACCUGAGAGGGUGAUCGGCCACAUUGGAACUGAGACAAGGCCCAAACUCCUACGGGAGGCAGCAGUAGGGAAUCUUCGGCAAUGGACGAAAGUCUGACCGAGCAACGCCGCGUGAGUGAAGAAGGUUUUCGGAUCGUAAAACUCUGUUGGUAGAGAAGAACGUUGGUGAGAGUGGAAAGCUCAUCAAGUGACGGUAACUACACAGAAAGGGACGGCUAACUACGUG
RNAcentral lists this ribosomal RNA (497 nucleotides) under uncultured bacterium. Its description in RNAcentral is "partial 16S ribosomal RNA". It matches the Rfam family "Bacterial small subunit ribosomal RNA", at positions 28 to 507 of the family's 1533-position model. The record is from RNAcentral.